Molecule: long non-coding RNA, 118 nt
Organism: Sphaerodactylus townsendi
Lineage: Eukaryota; Metazoa; Chordata; Lepidosauria; Squamata; Sphaerodactylidae
Exons: 4
Source: RefSeq, a predicted model, not a curated record
CCCCAAUAACUUAGGGGUUCGCCGCGGUAAAAGGUGCAGAGUUCAGCAGCCUCAGAGAGUUGCUGCCGCCGCUUCUUCUCCCAAACCGGAAGCCCGCUCUUCAAGUUCUUUGAAGCUC